This 488-nucleotide ribosomal RNA is filed under the name Nusasyntrophus virescens. RNAcentral describes it as "Syntrophus virescens partial 16S ribosomal RNA". The record is from RNAcentral. Lineage: Eukaryota; Metazoa; Arthropoda; Insecta; Coleoptera; Curculionidae.
UCGAACAGACCUAAAUUUUUAGCUUCUACACCAAAAUUAAAUUUUAAUCCAACAUCGAGGUCGCAAUCUUUUCUUUCGAUUAGAACUCUCAAGAAAAAUUACGCUGUUAUCCCUAAGGUAAUUUAAUCUUUUAAUCUUUAUAAAGGAUCAUAUAUUCAUAUAUAAAUGUUUUUAUUAAAUAAAAGUUUAUCUAAUUUUUCAAUCACCCCAAUUAAAUUAAUUUUUUUAUAAAAAAAUAAAUUCUAAAAAUAUUUAUAUAUAAACUAAUAAAACUCUAUAGGGUCUUCUCGUCUUUUAUUACCAUUUAAGCUUUUUUACUUAAAAAUAAAAUUCUAAUAAAUUUAAAUAGAGACAGAUUUUUUCUCAUCUAACCAUUCAUUCCAGCUUUCAAUUAAAAAACUAAUGAUUAUGCUACCUUUGCACGGUCAAAAUACCGCGGCCAUUUAAUUCUUCAUUGGGCAGGCCAGACCUUAAAUUAAUUUCAAAAA